This 67-nucleotide transfer RNA is filed under the name Tanaisia sp. SS-2020. RNAcentral describes it as "tRNA-Ile". Lineage: Eukaryota; Metazoa; Platyhelminthes; Trematoda; Plagiorchiida; Eucotylidae. The record is from RNAcentral.
GCCGGUAGGGCUGCUGAGUAGGCUACUGCGAUAUAGUAGUUGUGGGGGGGAUGUCCUUCCGCCGGUA